RNAcentral lists this ribosomal RNA (865 nucleotides) under uncultured bacterium. RNAcentral's name for it is "bacterial SSU rRNA". It matches the Rfam family "Bacterial small subunit ribosomal RNA", at positions 524 to 1380 of the family's 1533-position model. The record is from RNAcentral.
UACGGAGUGUGCAAGCGUUACUCGGAAUCACUGGGCAUAAAGCGCACGUAGGCGGGGAGGUGUGUCGGUGGUGAAAGCCCCCAGCUCAACUGGGGAACUGCCUCCGAAACUGCUUCUCUUGAGGACGAGAGGGGAGAGUGGAACUUCUGGUGGAGCGGUGAAAUGCGUAGAUAUCAGAAGGAACACCGGUGGCGAAAGCGACUCUCUGGCUCGUAUCUGACGCUGAGGUGCGAAAGCGUGGGUAGCAAACAGGAUUAGAUACCCUGGUAGUCCACGCCGUAAACGAUGGGCACUAGGCAGGGGAGGUUCCGAUGCCUUCUCUGCUGCAGCUAAUGUAUUAAGUGCCCCGCCUGGGGAGUACAGUCGCAAGGCCGAAACUCAAAGGAAUUGACGGGGGCUCACACAAGCGGUGGAGCAUGUGGUUUAAUUCGAAGCGACGCGCAGAACCUUACCUGGGUUUGACAUGUACGGAUUAGCUUCUGGAAACAGGGGUGACACUCGCAAGAGUGGAACGUGCACAGGUGCUGCAUGGCUGUCGUCAGCUCGUGUCGUGAGAUGUCGGGUUAAGUCCCUUAACGAGCGAAACCCUUGCCGUUAGUUGCCAGCGGAUCACGCCGGGGACUCUAGCGGGACUGCCGUGGUCAACACGGAGGAAGGUGGGGAUGACGUCAAGUCCUCAUGGCCCUUAUGCCCAGGGCUACACACGUGCUACAAUGGCCGGUACAGAGCGACGCGAAGCCGCGAGGUGGAGCUAAUCGCAAAAAGCCGGUCCCAGUACGGAUUGCGGGCUGCAAUUCGCCCGCAUGAAGCUGGAAUCGCUAGUAAUCGCGCAUCAGCACUGGCGCGGUGAAUAUGUUCCUGAGCC